RNAcentral lists this ribosomal RNA (389 nucleotides) under uncultured bacterium. Its description in RNAcentral is "bacterial SSU rRNA". It matches the Rfam family "Bacterial small subunit ribosomal RNA", at positions 505 to 898 of the family's 1533-position model. The record is from RNAcentral.
GUGUCAGCAGCCGCGGUAAUACGGAGGGCGCGAGCGUUACCCGGAUUUACUGGGCGUAAAGGGCGUGUAGGCGGCCUGGGGCGUCCCAUGUGAAAGGCCACGGCUCAACCGUGGAGGAGCGUGGGAUACGCUCAGGCUAGAGGGUGGGAGAGGGUGGUGGAAUUCCCGGAGUAGCGGUGAAAUGCGCAGAUACCGGGAGGAACGCCGAUGGCGAAGGCAGCCACCUGGUCCACUUCUGACGCUGAGGCGCGAAAGCGUGGGGAGCAAACCGGAUUAGAUACCCGGGUAGUCCACGCCCUAAACGAUGCGCGCUAGGUCUCUGGGUUUAUCUGGGGGCCGAAGCCAACGCGUUAAGCGCGCCGCCUGGGGAGUACGGCCGCAAGGCUGAA